This 366-nucleotide long non-coding RNA is filed under the name Ornithorhynchus anatinus (platypus). RNAcentral's name for it is "lncRNA (ENSOANG00000040517.1)". Lineage: Eukaryota; Metazoa; Chordata; Mammalia; Monotremata; Ornithorhynchidae. The record is from RNAcentral.
CAAGGGGAUAUGCUUGCUGGCUUCCAUCCCCCAAAUCCUGUCAACCUGGGCGUUCUCUUUCAGCCUCCCGAUGUUCAGACAGAUGUCAAGGGAGCAGUAUGCCUGAAGGCAGAGAAGAGUCUCAGACCUGGGAUAUCAACACUGAAUCUGGAAGGAGCCAUGAACUCAAAAGUGCCUGAUGUGGCAGAAAAACAAACCAGUCGUGUUCCAGAAGGAAGAAAGCAAAGACAUAAGGAUAAAAACAAAUUGUCAACAGAAGAAUCCAGCUGCAUACUUCCAGGCUACACUGCAGCCUUUAGACGAUAAACGCCAUAGCCAGGAAAUGGGUAUUUCAGACAGGAUGGAUAUAUGUCCAGCGACUUUGAU